GUUUGGAAACGAACGCUAAUACCGCAUAACAAUGAGAAUCGCAUGAUUCUGAUUUAAAAGAAGCAACUGCUUCACUACUUGAUGAUCCCGCGUUGUAUUAGCUAGUUGGUAGUGUAAAGGACUACCAAGGCGAUGAUACAUAGCCGGCCUGAGAGGGUGAACGGCCACNCUGGGACUGANACAUGGCCCANACUCCUACGGGAGGCAGCAGUAGGGAAUCUUCGGCAAUGGGGGCAACCCUGACCGAGCAACGCCGCGUGAGUGAAAAAGGUUUUCGGAUCGUAAAACUCUGUUGUUAGAGAAGAACGUUAAGUAGAGUGGAAAGUUACUUAAGUGACGGUAUCUAACCAGAAAGGGACGGCUAACUACGUGCCAGCAGCCGCGGUAAUACGUAGGUCCCGAGCGUUGUCCGGAUCUAUUGGGCGUAAAGCGAGCGCAGGUGGUUCCUUAAGUCUGAUGUAAAAGGC
Molecule: ribosomal RNA, 467 nt
Filed under: uncultured bacterium
Lineage: Bacteria
Description: bacterial SSU rRNA
Rfam family: Bacterial small subunit ribosomal RNA
Source: RNAcentral